AUAGGAACCGUGAGAACGUUCUGUUUUCAUUGGUCAGCCUCUAAGCGGAAUCGCGCGCGAUGAAUAAUUUUUCAGUUUUUCAUAGGGCCGUCCCUUUUUUACUUCAGGUUUUCAAUUACUAAGAAUAUCAGUUGUUCUUCCGCCAUUUCUGCCAAAGGAGUAGACCAGCAGCAAGGGAAGACUUAGACUGAGAAGACCAAGUGGUUAAACAAGAUUUGGGUUUCAGCAAGGAGAUUCCGUCCGGUACAGAUGCCUACAAGUAGUUUGUUGAUUAUAAUUAUCAUGAUAACAACUACACAAUUUGCAAGCGCUAUUUUCGUGGUUGCUCUUUUGGUAUCAGAAGUCAAUGAGGAGGGGAUAUUCGGUCAGUGGGUCGUGGAAGCCUUAUAACUGCGUGUGCAGUCCAGGAACGUGCCGAAUUUUCAUGAGCGAUAUCCAUGCCUCAAUUAAACUGUUAUUGACGACUGUAAAGUAAAUGCUAGGUGGUUAAACUUUUUAUCGAUCUAUAGGUAAUAGUUGGAAAGGACAUUUUAACAAAUACUUUUGUAAAUAUUUCUUAGCUUUGUUGAAACGUAGAGCUCAACGUAAAAUGCAUUUUUUUGAAAGAAAAUUUUGCUAUAGUCGUUGAGUAGCCUAGUUCGGAAUCGAACAUCUUGAUGUAUAGAAAUUGCAUAGAAUGAAGAAUUUAAAUUGUAAACAAAGAAGUGGAAU
Molecule: long non-coding RNA, 711 nt
Organism: Pocillopora damicornis (cauliflower coral)
Lineage: Eukaryota; Metazoa; Cnidaria; Anthozoa; Scleractinia; Pocilloporidae
Source: RefSeq, a predicted model, not a curated record